RNAcentral lists this ribosomal RNA (253 nucleotides) under uncultured bacterium. RNAcentral's name for it is "partial 16S ribosomal RNA". It matches the Rfam family "Bacterial small subunit ribosomal RNA", at positions 524 to 776 of the family's 1533-position model. The record is from RNAcentral.
UACGUAGUGUGCACGCGUUGUCCGGAUUUAUUGGGCGUAAAGCGCUCGCAGGUGGUCCGUUGCGUCGUGCGUGAAAGACCCCGGCUCAACCGGGGAGGGUCGUGCGAUACGGGCAGGCUGGAGUUCGGUAGGGGAGACUGGAAUUCCUGGUGUAGCGGUGAAAUGCGCAGAUAUCAGGAGGAACACCGGUGGCGAAGGCGGGUCUCUGGGCCGAUACUGACGCUGAGGAGCGAAAGCGUGGGGAGCGAACAGG